Molecule: ribosomal RNA, 1644 nt
Filed under: Escherichia coli
Lineage: Bacteria; Pseudomonadati; Pseudomonadota; Gammaproteobacteria; Enterobacterales; Enterobacteriaceae
Description: partial 23S ribosomal RNA
Rfam family: Bacterial large subunit ribosomal RNA
Source: RNAcentral
CGGGACACGUGGUAUCCUGUCUGAAUAUGGGGGGACCAUCCUCCAAGGCUAAAUACUCCUGACUGACCGAUAGUGAACCAGUACCGUGAGGGAAAGGCGAAAAGAACCCCGGCGAGGGGAGUGAAAAAGAACCUGAAACCGUGUACGUACAAGCAGUGGGAGCACGCUUAGGCGUGUGACUGCGUACCUUUUGUAUAAUGGGUCAGCGACUUAUAUUCUGUAGCAAGGUUAACCGAAUAGGGGAGCCGAAGGGAAACCGAGUCUUAACUGGGCGUUAAGUUGCAGGGUAUAGACCCGAAACCCGGUGAUCUAGCCAUGGGCAGGUUGAAGGUUGGGUAACACUAACUGGAGGACCGAACCGACUAAUGUUGAAAAAUUAGCGGAUGACUUGUGGCUGGGGGUGAAAGGCCAAUCAAACCGGGAGAUAGCUGGUUCUCCCCGAAAGCUAUUUAGGUAGCGCCUCGUGAAUUCAUCUCCGGGGGUAGAGCACUGUUUCGGCAAGGGGGUCAUCCCGACUUACCAACCCGAUGCAAACUGCGAAUACCGGAGAAUGUUAUCACGGGAGACACACGGCGGGUGCUAACGUCCGUCGUGAAGAGGGAAACAACCCAGACCGCCAGCUAAGGUCCCAAAGUCAUGGUUAAGUGGGAAACGAUGUGGGAAGGCCCAGACAGCCAGGAUGUUGGCUUAGAAGCAGCCAUCAUUUAAAGAAAGCGUAAUAGCUCACUGGUCGAGUCGGCCUGCGCGGAAGAUGUAACGGGGCUAAACCAUGCACCGAAGCUGCGGCAGCGACGCUGAUGCGUUGUUGGGUAGGGGAGCGUUCUGUAAGCCUGUGAAGGUGUGCUGUGAGGCAUGCUGGAGGUAUCAGAAGUGCGAAUGCUGACAUAAGUAACGAUAAAGCGGGUGAAAAGCCCGCUCGCCGGAAGACCAAGGGUUCCUGUCCAACGUUAAUCGGGGCAGGGUGAGUCGACCCCUAAGGCGAGGCCGAAAGGCGUAGUCGAUGGGAAACAGGUUAAUAUUCCUGUACUUGGUGUUACUGCGAAGGGGGGACGGAGAAGGCUAUGUUGGCCGGGCGACGGUUGUCCCGGUUUAAGCGUGUAGGCUGGUUUUCCAGGCAAAUCCGGAAAAUCAAGGCUGAGGCGUGAUGACGAGGCACUACGGUGCUGAAGCAACAAAUGCCCUGCUUCCAGGAAAAGCCUCUAAGCAUCAGGUAACAUCAAAUCGUACCCCAAACCGACACAGGUGGUCAGGUAGAGAAUACCAAGGCGCUUGAGAGAACUCGGGUGAAGGAACUAGGCAAAAUGGUGCCGUAACUUCGGGAGAAGGCACGCUGAUAUGUAGGUGAAGCGACUUGCUCGUGGAGCUGAAAUCAGUCGAAGAUACCAGCUGGCUGCAACUGUUUAUUAAAAACACAGCACUGUGCAAACACGAAAGUGGACGUAUACGGUGUGACGCCUGCCCGGUGCCGGAAGGUUAAUUGAUGGGGUCAGCGCAAGCGAAGCUCUUGAUCGAAGCCCCGGUAAACGGCGGCCGUAACUAUAACGGUCCUAAGGUAGCGAAAUUCCUUGUCGGGUAAGUUCCGACCUGCACGAAUGGCGUAAUGAUGGCCAGGCUGUCUCCACCCGAGACUCAGUGAAAUUGAAC